This 303-nucleotide ribosomal RNA is filed under the name Triticum aestivum (bread wheat). RNAcentral's name for it is "partial small subunit ribosomal RNA". Lineage: Eukaryota; Viridiplantae; Streptophyta; Magnoliopsida; Poales; Poaceae. The record is from RNAcentral.
AUGAUGCCCAGCUUGAGGCUACCAUUUAUCCAGCUAGGUUUGGAUUCUGAAAUGAAAGGGCGUUCUUGGCGAAGUCUGAAGUGUGUUCUGGGCAUGAUAGGAUCUUUUGUGCGUCAAUGGAGGGUGCUUUGCGACGAUGCUCAAGCUUCACUGCUCCUCAAAUGUCUGCGCCUACUCGAUCAUCAUCGAAGGGGGCUCCUUAGGAUAACUUGGGUCGACUCUUGGCAGCUCUUCUUGUGGCUAGCGUUGUCCAUUUAUGAUGUAUAUGUUCUCUUGCUUCCUCAUGUUGAGCGCCUGGCCUGA